UCGAGGAUCUUCCGCAAUGGGCGCAAGCCUGACGGAGCGACGCCGCGUGGAGGACGAAGGCCUUAGGGUUGUAAACUCCUGUCGAGGGUUAUGAAUGGCGUUUGGUGAACAGCCAAGCGAGUGACGUAAGCCCUGGAGGAAGCACCGGCUAACUCUGUGCCAGCAGCCGCGGUAAUACAGAGGGUGCAAACGUUGUUCGGAAUUACUGGGCAUAAAGCGCACGUAGGCGGCGCGUUAAGUGCGGGGUGAA
RNAcentral lists this ribosomal RNA (250 nucleotides) under uncultured bacterium. RNAcentral describes it as "partial 16S ribosomal RNA". It matches the Rfam family "Bacterial small subunit ribosomal RNA", at positions 355 to 598 of the family's 1533-position model. The record is from RNAcentral.